RNAcentral lists this ribosomal RNA (365 nucleotides) under uncultured eukaryote. RNAcentral's name for it is "partial 18S ribosomal RNA". It matches the Rfam family "Eukaryotic small subunit ribosomal RNA", at positions 592 to 975 of the family's 1831-position model. The record is from RNAcentral.
CAAUAGCGUAUAUUAACGUUGUUGCAGUUAAAAAGCUCGUAGUUGGAUUUCUGGAGGGAGCGUCGGCCCGUAUUUACGAGUGCGUGACGUCUCUGUCCAUCCUUGCGGGAAGGCACGGCAUUGAUUUGUUGUGUCGGAUCGCAUCAUUUACUGUGAAAAAAUUAGAGUGUUCAAAGCAGGCUUUCGCUUGAAUACAUUAGCAUGGAAUAAUAAGAUAGGACUUUGGUGCUAUUUUGUUGGUUGAGCCUAAAGUAAUGAUUAAUAGGGAUAGUUGGGGGCACCUGUAUUGCGUUGUCAGAGGUGAAAUUCUUGGAUUUACUCAAGACAAACAGCUGCGAAAGCGUCUGCCAAGGAUGUUUUCAUUA